AUCAACUUUCGAUGGUAGGAUAGAGGCCUACCAUGGUGGUAACGGGUAACGGGGUGUUAGGGCACGACACCGGAGAGGGAGCCUGAGAAACGGCUACCACAUCCAAGGAUGGCAGCAGGCGCGCAAAUUACCCAAUCCCGACACGGGGAGGUAGUGACAAUAAAUAACAAUACGGGGUUCUUUCGGAUUUCGUAAUUGGAAUGAGUACAAUUUAAAUCUCUUAACGAGGAACAAUUGGAGGGCAAGUCUGGUGCCAGCAGCCGCGGUAAUUCCAGCUCCAAUAGCGUAUAUUAAAGUUGUUGCAGUUAAAAAGCUCGUAGUUGAAUUUCGGGGUCAGUAGAUUGGUCGUGCCACUGGUAUGCACUGGUCUCACUGGCUCCUCCUUCCUGAUGAACCGUAAUGCCAUUAAUUUGGUGUUGCGGGGAGACUGGACUGUUACUUUGAAAAAAUUAGAGUGUUUAAAGCAGGCUAACGCUUGAAUACAUUAGCAUGGAAUAAUGAAAUAGGACGUUCGAUCUUAUUUUGUUGGUUUCUAAGAUUGACGUAAUGAUUAAUAGGGAUAGUUGGGGGCAUUAGUAUUCAAUUGUCAGAGGUGAAAUUCUUGGAUUUAUUGAAGACUAACUACUGCGAAAGCAUUUGCCAAGGAUGUUUUCAUUAAUCAAGAACGAAAGUUAGGGGAUCGAAGACGAUCAGAUACCGUCGUAGUCUUAACCAUAAACUAUGCCGACUAGGGAUCGGAUGAUGUUAAUUUUUUAAUGACUCAUUCGGCGCCUUACGGGAAACCAAAGUGUUUGGGUUC
Molecule: ribosomal RNA, 799 nt
Filed under: uncultured Glomeromycotina
Lineage: Eukaryota; Fungi; Glomeromycota
Description: SSU rRNA
Rfam family: Eukaryotic small subunit ribosomal RNA
Source: RNAcentral